AGAACGAACGCUGGCGGCAUGCCUAAUACAUGCAAGUCGAACGAACACUUCGGUGUUAGUGGCGCACGGGUGCGUGACGCGUGGGAAUCUGCCCUUGGGUUCGGAAUAACAGUUGGAAACGACUGCUAAUACCGGAUGAUAUCGAAAGAUCAAAGAUUUAUCGCCCAGGGAUGAGCCCGCGUAGGAUUAGCUAGUUGGUGAGGUAAAGGCUCACCAAGGCGACGAUCCUUAGCUGGUCUGAGAGGAUGAUCAGCCACACUGGGACUGAGACACGGCCCAGACUCCUACGGGAGGCAGCAGUAGGGAAUAUGGACAAUGGGCGCAAGCCUGAUCAGCAAUGCCGCGUGAGUGAUGAAGGCCUUAGGGUUGAAAGUCCUCUUUACCCGAGAUGAUAAUGACAGUAUCGGAGAAUAAGGCCCCGACUAACUCCGUGCCAGCAGCCGAGGUAAU
Molecule: ribosomal RNA, 450 nt
Filed under: uncultured soil bacterium
Lineage: Bacteria
Description: bacterial SSU rRNA
Rfam family: Bacterial small subunit ribosomal RNA
Source: RNAcentral